Molecule: ribosomal RNA, 449 nt
Filed under: uncultured prokaryote
Description: bacterial SSU rRNA
Rfam family: Bacterial small subunit ribosomal RNA
Source: RNAcentral
UAGGGAAUCUUGGGCAAUGGGCGAAAGCCUGACCCAGCCAUGCCGCGUGUGUGAAGAAGGCUCUAGGGUUGUAAAGCACUUUCAGAAGGGAAGAAAUGUUCGGGGCUAAUACCUCCGAGCUUUGACGUUAUCUUCAGAAGAAGCACCGGCUAACUCCGUGCCAGCAGCCGCGGUAAUACGGAGGGUGCGAACGUUAAUCGGAAUUACUGGGCGUAAAGCGCGCGUAGGCGGUUCGGCAAGUGGGAUGUGAAAGCCCCGGGCUUAACCCGGGAACUGCAUUCCAAACUGCCGGACUAGAGUAUGGUAGAGGGAGGUAGAAUUUCCUGUGUAGCGGUGAAAUGCGUAGAUAUAGGAAGGAAUACCGGUGGCGAAGGCGGCCUCCUGGACCAAUACUGACGCUGAGGUGCGAAAGCGUGGGGAGCAAACAGGAUUAGAUACCCCCGUAGUCC